AAACCCAAUUGAAUUAUUAUCAACCCUUGAAUUUAUGUAACGACCCAGCCCACUAGCAACAAUAACUCGUUGGGCCCAAACCAACAGCCCAAAAUGCUUAAGCCCAGUUAUUAUUACUAGUGUCUAGGUCUAUUAUAAACCCAAUGACAAUCCCUUUCCCAUCCGAUGUGGGACUAAUGGGGUGUCACAGACUCCCCCCGUUAAGGCCCUGACGUCCUCGUCAGUCCAAUCACACACACAGCCCAAGAUCACUAGGCGAUGUGAGACUCGUCUCGCUAGCCCGUCAUCCAGACCCUGGCUUAGCCGAGACUCGCCACACAUGUCCAGCUGGUGAACCGGCUCUGAUACCAAAUGUAACGACCCAGCCCACUAGCAACAAUAACUCGUUGGGCCCAAACCAACAGCCCAAAAUGCUUAAGCCCAGUUAUUAUUACUAGUGUCUAGGUCUAUUAUAAACCCAAUGACAAUCCCUUUCCCAUCCGAUGUGGGACUAAUGGGGUGUCACAAUUUAGGAGUGUUAGACUUAUGUCCU
This 532-nucleotide long non-coding RNA is filed under the name Ananas comosus (pineapple). RNAcentral's name for it is "long non-coding RNA (ACOM_LNC043694)". The record is from RNAcentral. Lineage: Eukaryota; Viridiplantae; Streptophyta; Magnoliopsida; Poales; Bromeliaceae.